RNAcentral lists this ribosomal RNA (497 nucleotides) under uncultured bacterium. RNAcentral describes it as "partial 16S ribosomal RNA". It matches the Rfam family "Bacterial small subunit ribosomal RNA", at positions 28 to 507 of the family's 1533-position model. The record is from RNAcentral.
GAUGAACGCUGGCGGCGUGCCUAAUACAUGCAAGUCGAGCGAACGGACGAGAAGCUUGCUUCUCUGAUGUUAGCGGCGGACGGGUGAGUAACACGUGGAUAACCUACCUAUAAGACUGGGAUAACUUCGGGAAACCGGAGCUAAUACCGGAUAAUAUUUUGAACCGCAUGGUUCAAAAGUGAAAGACGGUCUUGCUGUCACUUAUAGAUGGAUCCGCGCUGCAUUAGCUAGUUGGUAAGGUAACGGCUUACCAAGGCAACGAUGCAUAGCCGACCUGAGAGGGUGAUCGGCCACACUGGAACUGAGACACGGUCCAGACUCCUACGGGAGGCAGCAGCAGGGAAUCUUCCGCAAUGGGCGAAAGCCUGACGGAGCAACGCCGAGUGAGUGAUGAAGGUCUUCGGAUCGUAAAACUCUGUUAUUAGGGAAGAACAUAUGUGUAAGUAACUGUGCACAUCUUGACGGUACCUAAUCAGAAAGCCACGGCUAACUACGUG